RNAcentral lists this ribosomal RNA (468 nucleotides) under uncultured bacterium. RNAcentral's name for it is "partial 16S ribosomal RNA". It matches the Rfam family "Bacterial small subunit ribosomal RNA", at positions 28 to 507 of the family's 1533-position model. The record is from RNAcentral.
GACGAACGCUGGCGGCGUGCUUAACACAUGCAAGUCGAACGGAAAGGCCCUGCUUUUGUGGGGUGCUCGAGUGGCGAACGGGUGAGUAACACGUGAGUAACCUGCCCUUGACUUUGGGAUAACUUCAGGAAACUGGGGCUAAUACCGGAUAGGAGCUCCUGCUGCAUGGUGGGGGUUGGAAAGUUUCGGCGGUUGGGGAUGGACUCGCGGCUUAUCAGCUUGUUGGGGGGGUAGUGGCUUACCAAGGCUUUGACGGGUAGCCGGCCUGAGAGGGUGACCGGCCACAUUGGGACUGAGAUACGGCCGAGACUCCUACGGGAGGCAGCAGUGGGGAAUAUUGCACAAUGGGCGGAAGCCUGAUGCAGCAACGCCGCGUGCGGGAUGACGGCCUUCGGGUUGUAAACCGCUUUCGCCUGUGACGAAGCGUGAGUGACGGUAAUGGGUAAAGAAGCACCGGCUAACUACGUG